This 1064-nucleotide long non-coding RNA is filed under the name Anser cygnoides (Swan goose). RNAcentral describes it as "lncRNA (ENSACDG00005013974.1)". The record is from RNAcentral. Lineage: Eukaryota; Metazoa; Chordata; Aves; Anseriformes; Anatidae.
UGAUUGUAAUUACUUGUAUUGUUGUCUGAGGAUGCCUGUGAUACUGCUGUUUGGGUAAAAGGCUGAGCUAAGUGAACCAAGCUGUUCACCAGAUCAUUAAGGUAAUCCUUUGCAUCUUGUAACACUUCUCACCUGUUGCAUAUAAAGCAAGGUGGUUUGAUUUAAGCAAAUGAGAACAGUUAUAUAAUACAAGCAGUCUGAUUUCAGAAAGGUUAAACCUCCACUAAAGAGGGGUGGGUUUCUUUGCUCUUGUUGAACUGAUGGGGCAGAUGGAAGCAAGUUAUGAAUGUUAUUUUAUUGCCUUGCUAAUUUUCAUUUGGAAGAACUCAAAUCAGUUAAGCCGAGAGUUGUUUCCCAGAGAAAACAAGCUGCUACUGGUUCCUGACGCUCUAAAGGAUUACACUGCAGGUGAUCCUAUGCCUGCGUCUGAAAUGACGCUGGUGCUCGAAGGAGGCGUUUUUUCCCUGGACUGCGUGGCUGGCAAGAUGCUAGAGCCGAGCAGGGAGCAGCUUCGUGGCUGAUUGCCCUGACUAGAGCCUGGGACGUGCUGCACCCAAGCCAAACAUCUGCCGGGUGCCGGCUCCAUCGCUACCACGGGUGGUGAGCAGCAAGACUGGGUGCAGGGGCUCCCCACGGCCUCCCUGCCACCCCACGGGACAGCCUGUUCCUGCGGACACGUGUCUCAGAAAGGUGCUGUCACAGCUUUUAUACAUCAGCACAAAGCUCAGGCAGCCUCAUCAAUCAUCCAGCCUGCUGCUGGGCAGCAGGUACCUUGGCAGGCGCUCUUUGCUGAAAGGGGAGAUUUCACUCAGUUUGGGCUGGUGGGAAGAGCAGUUGAUGCUGGCAGUGCAAUUGGAGGAAAAUCAUGGUCCUGUGCACACCAGGGGUGGCCAGCUCUGUCAGUAGAAAACACGAUCCCUCUUUUUGGAACAAUACUUCUGACAAGUGAACACUUUUUCACUAUUAGUUUGGAUCAUGACAGGAAAAUAAACUCUCCUGUGCAGAAGAUGUUGCUUGUCCUUCGAUUAUGUAAGUUAAUGCUUUGGCUUCUGGGCUCUCGCUGA